This 698-nucleotide unclassified non-coding RNA is filed under the name Drosophila pseudoobscura pseudoobscura. RNAcentral describes it as "GA23917". Lineage: Eukaryota; Metazoa; Arthropoda; Insecta; Diptera; Drosophilidae. The record is from RNAcentral.
UUUCAGUUAACAUUUCUCUGCCAGAACGUAAAGAUGGGUCAAACCAUUGACAAGCCCCAGGAACUUGAAUCCAAAAAUGUUGAUGACAUGGAAAAGAAGAUCGAAAUUCGGCAAAAAUACAUAGCGGAAAUGGCGAAGAGGCUAUCCGGCCUGGAAGAAGUCCAAAAGGGUCGACAAUGUGACAAAUGAGUCUGGAGAGCCGAUCGGAAAUCAAGCAGCCCUCGUAAAGGAUGUGGAGGAGGAAAACAAAAUAUUUGAGAAGUUGGCCAAACUGGAACUGGAUGUCCAAUCACAUAGGUCUUUGAUUGAUCAACACGAAGAAAACGCCAUCAAGCAGCGAGCUGAUCUCAAGUCAAUUAAAGAGGAGACAAGUGGCAUCAAGGCCAGCAUCGAAGGACUUCAUCUGAAACUACAAUCGUAUCUGGACAAACAGGAGGAAAGUCAAAAGCUUUCGGAUUCAUUCAAGGCCCAAAUGGCCCAUUUCGAAGCAUUUUCGCAUGAGAUUAAAGAAAAAGAUAAAGACUAACUGAACUGACGCAAGACGCAAGAUGGCGGCAUAUCUCCGCUCAUACAUUUUCCAGUCAAAAGAUAUUUUAUAGCACGAAUCUGCAAGACGGCAGGUGGCGUGGCGCGUUUAUAGAAGGAAUUUGUUAUAAAUUUAAUCCAAAUCCAUAAAUAAAACCCAUACAUUUUUCUUA